GAUGGGUCUUGGGGGAGACCAAGGGUGCCCUGCUCAAUGUCAGCCCUGACUCUGUGCCACGUGCACUCAGCUCUGCCACGGAGGUGCAUGGCUCUGUAGACGUGGACGGUGAGCUGGGGAGGAAGGUGGUCUUGGAGAGAAAUGCCCCAUGGGGAGCUGAGACCUGUGUGUCAUGGGAUCAUCCUGGAUUUGGCUUAAAAUCCACGUGGCUGUGGAAAUCCCAGGGUGCACCGAGGAUCUGUGGGGGAGCAGGGGUAAGUCCAGGUGAACCUCGAGCUGUUCUCAGCCCUGAGGUUUGGGUCACUCCGAGAGCACUUGGGUCUCUGCCGAACGGCACAGAUCAUUCUCAGGCCCUUACAACCAUCCGGGUCACUCUAGAAUUCCUUUUAGGACUCCUGGGCUGGGCUGUGGCUAUUCAGGACUCUGGGUAAGAGCCCUUGGAGUCACCUGGGAGGUAGAAUCGCCAUUUUCUAGCAGCCAUCUUGAAUGGCAGAUUCCCUGCAGUUCAAGCUGGGGCUGCCCAAGGGGUUCUGGGGGGUCCUGGGUGCCUUCCAGUUGCCCCUCCAGGUGCACCCCCUCCUCCCCCAGGACACUGACCGGCGGGGGCCAUCGUGGGGGACCUUGUGCUCUCUGGCUCUGGCUGGCUCAGCCAGUGGGAGCCUGUGGGGCUGGGAGGGAGGAGGGUGUGAUGAGGCAUCUCCUUCCCGCUGGGCUCCUCCCCACCUCUUUCCUCCUUUUCCAAGUCCCCUGACCAUCCCUCCCCUAUCUCUCCAGGUCUCUUAAAUUACCACGGUGCCAGCUACAUGGCCCGGGUGGGUGGUUCCCCACACUGCCUACCCCUUCAUACCUCGCCCCAUUACACCCUCCUGGAAUCAUUCUCACUGGAGGCUGCACCGUUUCCUGCUGCCCACGAUGAACAAAGCAGGAAACUGUCUUUUCCAGACUUCCCCACGAAGUGAGGUUUUGACGACCUCAUUCUCCAAGAGCAAACCCAGCCCCUGGAGUCCGUUCUUUCCCUGCGCGCGUGGACACCCCUGCAGCAGUGGCUCCUUUUGGUGGCCGCUCUUCAGACACGUGCUAGAGAGCAAUCAUUGAUGACAACGUUUUCUUUCAAAAGGCCCAGAAAACAAAAUUAAAUCUUGGGACUCGAAGCUUCCUGGGCCUGUGCCACGAAGGCCCAUGCUUAGCCGGUCUGGUGCCAGGCUCUGUGACGUGUGGAAACCAGGCCCACCGACCACACAGCAGUGGCUGAGGAUGGCUCCCUCCUCGGCUACUCUCUGAAAUGGUAGAGGCCACUCUCAUGGCUGAGUGGUCUCCGCCGUUCUGCAGAGGUGUGGAUAAGAACAGGAGUUCCUGCUUGUCUCCUAGGGGUCCGUAUUGAACGUUGGCAAUCAGUGGAAAUCCUGUCUCAGGCCCUCUCGGGGCCCCACACUGAUCAUUGUAUUUAAAUCCUCCCAGUGUCCUGCAGACACCUACCUCCCAGACCAAAGAGGGACCUUGCUGGUGGCCAGGAAACAAGCUGAAGCACAGAGAGGAGAGAAAGAGACAGAGUUGGGUCCUCGGGUCACCUUAAAAGGCUGUGAGACUUUUUGCCAGGGCAGGGCCUGGCGGGUGGUGGAGAUGCAGGAUGAAGGACUUAAGGAGGGAUCUUUUACUUUCAGUGUGAAAGUGACCUGUGUUUUUAUGAGGGGGCUAGAGAAAUACUCAGAAUCUGAGAGCAGGCAGUUGGAGUGGGAUCUCAGCAAACUUCCGUGUCUGCAUGGUCCUGCAACCAUCGCCCUGGACAGAGGUCUCAGCUGGGUAGAGAUGGACGGUUGUCAGGGCACAGCCUGUCCUUAGGGGGUGCUAGGAAUGGGGAUUGGGGUGAAGAGGAGUUCAGGAAAGAGGGGUGAGGCAUGGGGAACCUGCUGGCUUAGAGGAUGCAAAGGGGCAGGUUUUAUGGACGCUUUAUGCAGGUCCCUUUCAUAAAGAUACUUGCCCAGCCUGAGCAGAAACCCACACCCUAGAGUUUGUUUCUUCCCUGUGGGCACCCCCCGCCCCCGCAGCAGCGGCUUCUUUCAGUGGCAGAGGCUGACUCUUUUUGCAGCUUCUCCAGCACUUGCAAAUGCAACUUCCUUGCACCCACUUCAGACACUUUACAGCUGGAACCCCUUCCUUCAAGGUUAGGGGCCCAGGCCCACAGCCCCUACCUCCAAGUUUCCACGUUUGAAGAAUCCCAACCUUUUCCCUUUGCCUCCUCAGCCUCAGGGGUGACACCUCAGAGCUCCUGUUUACCUCUUUAGCCACCAGGAAGACAUUAGGACUCCCAGAGGGUGACUCCAGGGGCAGGUGGCUUGGAGGACUGGCCGUGCAAGGAGGCAGCAAAGGGGCGGCCAUCUGCAAGCUGAGGGCAGAGGCCUUGGAGGAAGCAGCCCUGCCAGUGCUGGUAACUGCCUGCAGGUCGGAAGUCCAAACCAAGGUGCUGGAAGGGCUGGUUCCUUCCGGACCCUUCAGGGGAGAAUCUUUCUGCCUCUUUGGCUUCUUGAGGCCCCUUCCUGGCAUUGCUUCUUUCUCCACUGACUCCUACCAUCAGCGCUGAGUCCUGCCUGCCUCUUAUAAGGUACUUCUUUCUCCACUGACUCUUACCAUCAGCGCUGAGUCCUGCCUGCCUCUUAUAAGGCGCUUCUGGGAUGACUCCUGGUGCACCCAAUAAUCCAGGGUCAUCUCUCCAGAUCCAGGUUCAUAACCCAAUCACCCCCACAAAGGGAGGUCACGUGUUCCCAAGCUCCAGGGAUCAGGAGGAGGGCAUCUUUGGGGGUGAUACUAUGCAGCUGACCACAGCCUCUCUCCACCUGGGCUCCCACACCCACCCUAUUCUGCAGAUCUUCAGAGGCCACCUGGGAUGUCAGAAGCUUCCAGGAACCAGGAGGAGAUGGAAUGGGAUGGGCUCUGGGCCCGGCCAAGCAGAGCAGGAUAGGGCUGAGAGUCAUCUGAGCACAGGUGGUUCAAAUGGCAGAGAAGCUCCACGCUGGAGCGGGGAAGAGCUUGGGCUUUCCGGCCAGAAAGCGCAGGUUUUGGCCACGGCUCUUCUGCCACUCACUAGAUGUGGGAGUUUGGAGGCGUUACCCGAGCUCUGAGCCUUACUUUCCUCAUCUGAAAAAUGGGAAUAAUGGUAGGGUUAAAUUAAACCAAAUUUGGUCUGAGGAUGCCUCUGCACUUUGAGUCCAACUGCGACCUUAGCAGCAAAUGAACUGCAGGCCUAGCUUAGGAGUGUACUUUUGUAAGAAAUAGCCGAGUCUUAGCCAAUCACAGCAGCUGAGCUUCUAUAAAUCGCAGGUGGCUGCUGAGUAGUCCAUGUUCAAACACGGCAAACCAAGCUGUGACCAAUGAGCUGUCUCUGCAGCUCACUUCCAUUUUCUGUCUAUAAACACUCCCUGCCCACACUGUGGAGUGGAGCUCAGCCCUUGGAACCUCUUCUGGUCUGAGGGCUGCCCACUUCAUGAAUCCUUUGCUUAAUUAAACUCAAUUCAUUUCAAAUGAAACUCAAUUGAUUGCUAGAUUAAUUUAAAUUUAAUUCGUCUAAAGUUUUCUUUUAACAGUUCCUACCUUGUUGAGUUGUCGUGGGAAUCAAGUGGAAAUUUCUUUUUCACAUGGAAAGGGCUUAGCAUAGCCUGGCACGUGCUGAGUGUUCAGUGCACACUGGUUAUGAUGAUCACAGUUAGUGUCUCCAUCUUUGGUCUGUUCAGCGCUACAGUGUUUGGGGGCCAGCUAGGCAGUGCUGCAGCUGCAGCUCUGUGUGUGUGUGUGUGUGUGUGUGUGUGUGUGUGUGUGUGUGUGUGGAGGGGGCUGUGAGAUUGGCGGGCUCAGGAGAAGAUGACUACUAGCUGUUGCCAAAGUUUCUUUUCUGCAAGGGAAAGCCACAAGUCACUGGCUCCAAUGUGGACUUUUAAAAGGCCUUCCUUCCUUUCUCUCUUACUUCUGGGGAGCCCAUGGAUAGGAAAUGGCACUAAACUGACUUCAUCUCUGUACCCUGAUGCCUCCAUCGCCCUCAGAGUUUACGCCCUCGAUGAAUCACUUAGAGUGAACUGGGAGCUGUGUAUGAGGUGACGUCACCCUGAGAUAGAGCUCUGUGGUCACUGGGAGGUGGCUGUGUGCGUUAUCUCCCUGUGGCAUGCCAGGAGGCGUGUGUGUGUGCACGAGUGUGUGUGUGCAUGCAUGUGCAUGUGUGUCUUUGUGUGUGUGCAAGUGUGUGUAUGUGUGUGGAUAAGGGAGAGGGAGGGAGGGAGCUGGGCUGUCUCCCCUUCCCCACAAGUGGACCCUGCAGCUCAGAGCCGGAGGUGUGAGCUGAGUUUGGCGUUUGUAUGUUGCUUGAGUUGGAAUUUGAACUCACAGGGGACAGGAAAGGAUGCCUGUCCCCAGGACUGACUAACGACAUCAGGCCUGGCUAUUGAACUUCCUGCUCUGCAGAUCCUGGGUUCUGGGAGGAUGAGGAAAGGAUGAGCGAAGGCUGGGGGAUCUCUGGGGUGGGGGUGGACUCAGUGAGUGGAAAGAGUAAAGGUGUUGGGGGUGGACUCCCUGUCUGUGUGACCGCUGGCAAAGUCCUUGACCUCGGCCAGUCUGCGUUUCCUGAUCCAGGCAGUGGGGACAUGGUCCUUUCCCUCAGAGGGGUGGUGAGGAUUCAAUGAACUCCUUUAGGUAGAGCUUGCUCAGGAGCAUCAGCUGUAACACCUGUCCUGGAAGGUUGCUAGGUGCCCUCACCCUUUGUUCUGUGCCCACCUCUCUCCACCCCCUCUUCAGCCCGGAUCCAGACGAGGCCUGGGGAAAGUCUCCCAGAAAGCGCCCUGACCAGGGCGGUGCCAGCUGGGUUCCUGUUUGCCUAAACCCAAGCAGCAAGCUCUUCAAAGGAACCUAACAAACCGGACAGAGAGCUUUGUUUUUUUCCUCACAGCAAAGGAGACAGAAAAGUUUGCUGAGUAAGUCAGACACCAUUAAACUCACAAAAAGGCUCUUUGUUCCGGCCUGAGAGGGGGUGAAAAAAAUAAGCGAAGUGGUCGAAGGGCGUGUGUUUGCUUCCGUGUUCUUGGAGUGUUUGGGCAGGGCUCACCCAGCUCACUCUUCCUGCUCUCCCCCAUCUCUGAGUCCUCUGCCCCUGGUGAUCCCACCUGUUAUAUCAAAAAAUUGCACCACGGCCCAGCCAGAAGGAACGGCUAAGGGCUGUUAGUCCAGCCAGAGUUUCACUUUUAAAAUGAUGCUACCUAGUACUUAAGUUAGACGCUCCCGCAGGGCUUUCCUGUGCUUUUUCUUGUUGGAAGUGAUGUGACCGAGGCUCUUGCCAAAGGUCAGUUAGUUGCUGUCUGAGCUGGGCUUGGGACCAAGCCCCUCGUACCCAGCCUGUUGUCAUUUACUGUCAUCCCUAGUGCUAGCUGUGGAAAAGUCUGCUUGAUUCUAACCCUUUUGUCUCUAGUACAGUGAGAUCUAUGCUAAGAUUUGUUUGUCCUCAUUAAAUUAUAAAUUCUUCCAGGCAGGUCACUAUGUGGCUGGUGCCCCCCUGCAGUUGUGCAGUGUGCAACCUGUCAGACUGAACAUGGCAGCCCUGCUUCUGGGGUUAAUACAAUAUUAUUGAUUCAUUCUUCCAGCAGAUGGAACAAUGCCUGUGGGGGGCAAUUAUGCCUUUGCUUCUAAGACUCGUGCUUGUAAUGCCCAAAAUCCAGUGUCACUGAGCCCAGCUGUGCUGAGAGAAACCAGCAAGUGGGCCAAAAAGAAAAGGUCUCCUCCUCCCAGACACACUGGCUGCUGGAGAAAGCCUGUGUGUUCUUAGGUGGCUGGGCUAGGUGGGGGCAGGCUCAUGGGCAGGGGAACCAGUCUCUUAGGUGGGCAUUUCUGGGGGGCUCUCAUGGGGUGGAACUAACCAGCCAGGCCCAGUUCUCUCCUUUGGCAGCCAGAGAGGGGAGAAUGUCAGAUGUUUGUGCCUUGACUCAGCAGGUGACGUUGUGAACAUUUAUGAGCUUUUCUUCCUUUGGGCUCAUUUCUUUAUCUGUUAAAAGCAGGCAGGGCAGUGCCCAGCCCGCACCUGCCCAGAAGGACAGACAAAACAUAAAAGGGCGGGGUGAUUGUGAAAUAUCACUGGGCAUUGUUCAUGUCAGAGCUCCUGGUGCAGUGCGAUGCCCAGGACUUUGUGUGGGCAGGGCUGGUGCUGAAGUGCAGGAGAAGACUCAGCUCUGGCUGAGCAGGCGCUGACCCACACUGCUGCUCUGUAACUCACACCGUUAACAAUGGAAAGCGUUGCCUUGUUGUCUGUUUUGUGCAUCCAUGUUUUCAUUCCGAUUUUUAGUCCACAUCUCUGGAGGGCAGAAAAUCUGUCUUAUGCUUCUUUUUCCUUCAACUGCAUCCUUGGGAGGGUGGUAGAUAGAAGACAGACAUUCUUUACACAGGUGAGGCCCGCAGGAAGAACCAGGGCCAGUCCUCAUGGUCAUCACACACCUGGAGAGGGAGGCUUCUGUGACUUUGUGUGUGGUGACAACGCUGUGCUGCUUGGUCUUCCGAAUGGUUGGACAGCCUUUGGCAUGUGCUCUAGGACGCCCAGAGCUGCAGGUUGGCCUUGACUCCUCUAGCCUUGCCAAGUCCCUCAGGUAGAUCAGCCCACUGGUACCUUCAGCCGGCCGGCACCCUCCUGCCCAGGUGGGGCCAUGCCUCUGUUGGCUGCACUGUCUUUCAGGAGGGUGUCCUUGGCUCUGGCAUUCUGGGCUCCUAGAACAGAACUGCAAUGGUUUUCCUCAGCCUGCGUUCCUGACUUCUGUCCAGCUUGUGGUCUGCCUUGUGGCUCCCUUCCCUGGGGACCGUCCCCUCUGUCCCCCACCAGGAGGGUCAUGCCUGCCACACACUGCUCCUAACAACCCGCCCUGUGAUGGCUCUGGCUGGUGACCCGCAGCUGCUGGCCAGGCUGGGCUGAACCCGGAUGGCUGCGGAUCAGCAGAGCACGCGCCCCACCGCGUUGGGCCUGCUCUCGGAUAUGCUGCUGGUGGACUGACUCAUAACUAGCGCUUCCUCUCAACAAAAACAAACACCCAGGGAGAGACUCAAGGGCCCUCCUUGGCUAAACAAUUCUUGAGAUUGAGUUGGAAGGGAAAACCCAUUACACAAAGGGCUUUGCAGGGGAAGAGGGGAGAAGGCGAGAAGCCAGAACAAACACAAGAAGGCCCAAGCCACCCAGGGACUGGGAGAGGGACUCCGGCUCAGGUGGGCGCGGCCAUAUCCACCUUUUUGGGACUGAGACACUGAGCACAUUUGCUCACUGCUUUCCCUCCGACAGCUGUUAAAGCUGGUGCUUUGAACCCAGCCCUGGGCAGGGUCCUUGCUGGCUCCGGGAACCUCCAUUCUUGCUGGGCUGACCCUUUGCACAGCGGGCUAGGGCAGCCCUGGGUGUGGGGCUCCAGCUCACAGACAGUGUGAUCAUGAAAUGAGGAAAGUGUGGGCUUUGGAGUCUGUGAGACCUGGCUGCAAAGGCUGCUCUGCUGGCCCUAGCUUUAUGGGCUCAGGCAAGUGACUUAACCUCGCAGAGUCUCAGUUUCUUUAUCUGAGAAAUGGGUGGUGAUGCCUACUUGGGAGAUUGCUGUGAGGAUUAAAGAUGACCUAUGUACAGUGCUGGAACAUAGGAGGCAGUUACUACCUAGCAGCUAAUCUUACUUAAUUAAAUAUCUUCCCCUCUCAAAUAAACCUUCUGGGUCUAGCAAAGAAAGUUGAGUAAGAUACAGGCCUUCUCCACUGGACACACACAGCUCCUUGGGGACCAUCUGGUGGGAUCUCAUUCCCAGGCCCCAGGCCAGAUGCUCAUCAGCACCCAGUGAGGCCACAGCCAGCCCUGAUUCCAGGUCACUGGCCCACCUCUGGUCAUAGUGGCCUCUUCUGUCUUCUCAUCAUCCCACAGUUAGGCAGGACCUCCCAUGAACCAAUGGAAAAAUGCCCAGUAGUACAGAUGCCAGCAUGCUGACCAGGGAACAGGCACAGGUCACCUUGGGCUCGGUGUGGAGCCAUCAGCUGGCCAGGGGGACCUCACUGUCCUCCUGGUUGCAGAGGAAGGCACUGGGCUUGUGGGAAGAGUCUUAGAGAAAAACUUUGCAAUGGGGCAUGGCCACAGGACUGAGGGCCAAGCAAAGACUACUGAUGAGAAUUUCUGUGGGGGGAGAGUUUCAUUUCAAUGGAAGGAAGAACUUUUAUCAGUAAGAACAAAAACUUCACUGUUGAAGAAUAGAUUCAAGGGCACCUUCACCUUCUUUGUCCCUCCUUGACUUGGCCACUGGUGGUAGUGUGUGUGCACAUGUACGUGGGUGUGUGUGUGUUGUUCAGCUUAAUAAAUAACACAUCAAAAUCAUGCAGUGCAGUCAAAUUCAUAUGAGAAAAAAAUUUGUUUGUUCUCAAGUUCUGUGAAAGUAGAUAUACCUGAACCAGCCAACCACUGACCUCCAACUACCAAGUUCUGCCAAAAGUUGUGACACUCAGAGGACAAACCAGUUAAGCAGUGUUUGUCAAAAAAUAUUCCCUGGACAAGACUUAUUCCUGUCUGGGUGUGUCCACGUUACAAAAGCAUGUCUACACCACAUUGCUACAUCGAUCUUCAGAACGUCUGAGUGAAGUAGGCAGGAGGGUAUUGUCUUCCUUUUGCAGAGGAGGAAAUAACUUGCUCAAGGUUACAUGGCCAGCAAGUAGCAGGCUUGGGAGAACCAGGUCUUCUGGCUGCUUCACAAAGCCUGAUCUAGAAAAGGAGGGGGCUGCCUCGUGAGUCCCGUGGACCCAAACUGAGAUCAGAUGACAGAGGAUCAGAUCAUGGAGACCUUCUGGAGUUCAUAAUUGUACCAUGAAAGCAUUGUCCUGCACGACAGUGAGAGCAGAAGUUGGCACAAUUUUUAGAUGUGUAAUUUGGCAAUAUGAAUCAGAAACCAUAAAGGUGACUAUGGGCUUUGACCAAUUAUUUUCAUUUCUAGGACAGUGUCUUCAAGAAAUAAUCAGAAAUGGGCACCAGGUUAAAAAGUUACACAUAGGGUUACCGUAUGACCCAGCAAUUCCACUCUUGGUGUAAGCCCAAGAAAAUGAAAACAUGUGUCCACACAGAAAAAUUGUAUGUGUUUAUAGCAGUACUAUUUAUACUAACUGAAAAGUGAAAAGACCCCAAUAUUCACCACUAUUGAAAAAAUAAAAUAUGAUCUAUCCAUAUAGUAGAAUAUUAUUCUGCUGUAAAAAGGUAUGAAGUAGUGAUAUUUGCUGCAACAUGGAUGACCCUUGAAAACACUGCGCUAAGUGAAAGAAGCCAGGCACAAAAGACCACAUCCUAUGACUUUGUUUAUAUAAAUCCAGAAUAGGCAAAUUUGUAAAGCUAAAAGUAGAGUAGGGUUGCUUAAGUUUGGAGUAGGAAAGUUGGGAAGAUGCAGAUUCAUUGCUAAUGGGUAUGAUGUUUAUUUUAGCAGAACAAAAAUAUUCUAAAAUUAGAUUGUGGUGAGGGUUGUACAACACUGAAUUAUUUUUAAAAUGUUAAACUGUACACUUUAAAUGAGUGAAUUACAUGGUAUGUGACUUAUAUCUCAACAAUUUUUUUUCUAAAAAAAAAGGGCACCAGGAAGUUCUUCUCAUCAGUUUUCAUAAUAAUAAAAAAAUUUGAAACAAUCCAAGCUCAUAAGGAAAAGAAAUAAUCAAAUAAUUAUAGUACACCCAUAGUUGAUGUAUAAAGAAAUCAAAAAAUAUAAUACAUAAAAAUAUUUUAGACAAUGAGAAAAUGCUCAUGAAAUAUUAAAAAUUAUAAAAUACAAAUGUAUGUUUAGUGUGAUUUCCAUUUUAUUUUAAUUUUUAAAAAUUAAAUGUUUUAUCUUUUAAGAAAGAAUUUUAAGAAAGAAUGCAGAGAUCCUGUGUAUCUUUCACCAAUUUCCCCAGAUGGGAGCAGUUUGCAAAACUGUAGUACAAGACAGCAACCAGGACAUUGACCUUAAUAUGGUCAAGCAACAAAACAUUUUCACCACUGCAAGGAUCACUUGUGUUGCCCUUUUAUAGCCAUGCCCCCUUUCUUCCUGUGCCAUUCUCACCUUAAUCCCAGGAAACAGCUAACCUAUUCUUCAUCUCUAUGAUUUUGUUAUUUCAAGAUUGUUAUAAAUGGAAUCAUAUAGUGUGAAACCUUUUGGGACUGGCUUUUUUCACUCUACAUAAUUCACUAAGACCCAUCUAGGUUGUUGCACUUAUCCUUAGUUCGUAUUUGUUUAAAAACCUGUACACAGCGUGUGUAGUAGUUUUAUUUGUAAUAGCCCAAACCUGGAAGCAAUCCAGAAUUCUCCAGGGAAACCAUCUGGGCCUGGAGAUUUCCUUUUUUAGGAGGUUAAAAAUUACCAAUUAAAUUUCUUUAAUAGUUACAGGGCUAUUCAAAUCAUCUACUUUAUAUUUGAUGAGUUGUUAUAGUUUACAUUUUUCAAGGAAUUGGUCUAUUUCAUCUAAGUUGUCAAAAUUUACGUGGAUAAAGUUUUUGUGGCAUUCCAUGAGUAUCCUUUUGAUAUCUGUAGGGUCUAUGGUAAUAUCCUUGUUUUAUUUCUGAUAUUUGUAAUUUAUGUCUUUCCUCUUUUUUCCUUUGUCAGUCUUACUAGAAGUUUACCAAUUUUAUUGAUCUUAUAAAAAAACUAGUUCUUGAUUGAUUUUCUCUAUUUUUUUCUGUUUUCAAUUUCAUGGAGUUUGGUUUUUAUUUCUUUAUUUCUGCUUUCUUUGGAUUUACUUUUUUUUUAGGUUCUUGAGGUGGAAGCUUAGAUUAUUUAUUUGAAUUUUUCCUUUUUCUAAUAUAUUCAUUUAGUGCUAUGAAUUUUCCCCUCAGCACUGCUUUAGCUGAGUGCCACAAAUUUUGAUAUGUUGAAUUUUCAUUUUCAUUCAGUUCAAUGUAUUAAAAAAUUAUCUGGAGACUUCCUCUUUGACCUCUGGGUUAUUUAGAAGUGUGCUAUUUAGUUUUCAAGUGUUAUGAGAUUUUCCUAUCAUUUCUCUGUUAUUGAUUUCUAGUUUGAUUCCAUGUGAUUGGAGAACACACGCUAUAAGAUGUGAAUUCUUUUGAAUAUGUUGAGGUUUGUUUUGUGGCCCUGAAUAUAGUCUAUCUUAGUGUAUAUAUUUUGAAGUAUGGGAAAAUGUUCAUGAUAUAUUAUAUAAAAAUAUAAAUUAUAAAAUGUGUGUAUAGUGUGAUUCCAAUUUUAUGUUAACUGCCCUUUAUUUUCCUCCUUAUCCUCUUCUGAAUUAUCUAAAGUUAAGAAUUCUACCUUUUAUGAUCAGAAAGUUUUUUUUUUUAAAUGGAAAGAGCAGUGGGUAGUGUGUCAUAAGAUACAAGUUUAAAAACUGGGCUCUCAUUUUCUAGCAAUGUGACCCAGGCACUGCAUCUCAUUUUAUCUAAUUGAGCCUCAUUUCUAAAAUCUAUAAAAUGGAAAUAAUAAAAUGCCCACUUUAUAGAGUUAUUGUAUUAAACAAUCCAAAGCCAGCAUUUAUUAAAUGCCCAAGCAGUGUGCACACGGUAUGGUGGUGUUUCUAUUACAGUGAGGAAGCUGGACUCUUUUAUCUCUUGGGUCCCUUGCGACUAUUUGCUUUUAAGCCUCUGUGAUUCUUUCACUGAGGAGCAGACAGAAGUCUGAAACAUAUUGUGUCUGUGGACAGAACUCUCCAUAAAUUGCUGUUCUCCAGAUAUUUCUGGAAGCCUGGGAGUAUAAUUGGGAUGUAACAAAUUUGGACUUUUUAGCAAUGUUCCAAUUUCAAAUGUUCUGUCCUCUUGCUCCCCUAGUAUAACAGUAAUGUUUUCACCAUGCAAUUUCAUUUCUGGUUAGAAAAAUGUGGAUAUUAGGUUAAAAGAUUCACCUGAAAGGAGAAGAAAAAUUCUUGGUUGUCUGCCAUACCCUUUACUAGAAACCUUUCCCCUCUUCUUAGGCCUGUGAUUGUUCUCCAAAGCAGGUGAUUGUAAUCAAGCUCCCAAGAACCAGGUUAUCAGUCAGUUUUACAGCCCUAAUUUCUCAAUGGCAGGAAAGGAGUGGGGCCUGUAAGAUGAGUCAAGGAGGGACAGGGUUUCCUUGGUAUUACUUAAUUUUAAAGUCCUUUUCCCUGCCCAUGCAUGACUCCCAAUCCACCGCUGGGCUGGCCUCUAGAAGAACCGCUGUAGGAGCUCUCACCCUGCCAGGGCCACCUCCGGUCUUCUCUCUGUGUCUUCCACCCUUCCUUGGCCAGCAGACAGUCUUCUGGUUUUAGAAGUGUCUUUUCUUCCUACUUGUGUGGUAUUCCCUUCCAAAUCCACCCUAUCCAUGUGGAUGGAGUCUUCUUGACCAAGAGAGCCAGGGUCCAAGCUUUUCUAAGGAUAUUCCAGAGGAUACUAGGGUCUAUUCAGCCAAUGAACCCUUAGCCCUGCUUCCAGACUCGGUGUACUACCAUCCCUCUCAAAGCUCCCUGUUCAUCCAAUGUGUAGUAUCUACUGAUAAUUCAGCAUCCCGUGCCAACCAGUCAUGCCCCACUCUGUGAUCUUAGGGUGGCGGAUGCCUAUUUAUACAUUGCCCUUAUUUUAUUUUACACCCUUUAUCACCUGGGUCUGUGAGUUUCUUGGGUUCAAGGACUUUUCUCAUUUGUUUUUGUUUAUUUUGAUCAAGGUAAAUAUAUAGCAUAAAAUUUACCAUUUUAGGUACACAAUUUGGUGGCAUUAAGUGUACCAUAGUCUCAAUGCCUUAGUCUCAACACUAAGUCACAUGAAAUCAAACUAGAACUGUCACCACCAUCCAUUUCCAGAAUUUCAUCAUCCCAAACGGUAACUGUCUACCCGUCAAACAACAACCCCAGCUGGGCGCAGUGGCUCAUGCCUGAGGUCCUAGCAUUUUAGGAGGCCGAGGUGGGCAGAUCACUUGAGUCCAGGAGUUCCAGACCCGCCUGAGCAACAUGGUGAAACCCUGGCUCUACAAAAAAUACAAAAAUUAGCCAGGAGUGGUGGUAUACGCCUGUAGUCCCAGCUACUGGUGACGGGGGAGGCCUGGGAGCUGAGGUGGGAGGAUGGCUUGAGCCUGGGGAGGCGGAAUCUGCAGUGAGCCGAGAUUGCACCAUUGCACUCCAGCCUGGGUGACAGAGUGAGAUACUUUCUGAAAAACAAAAAAACAAACCAAAACAAAACAAAACACCCCAACAAACCCAUUUAUUUUUGCAUCUUCUGUCUUCUAUGUGAGGACCUUUGCCUAGCACACAUCCAGGCAGACAUAUUGUGACAUUGUCCACAGACAUGAGACAUACUGUGAAGGUGCCCUUGAGUUGUGCAAGACAGUGGUCAAGCUCCCAUCCCACUUCUUAACACAUGGCGGGACCUUAAAUGUUCUUAAAAUUGAACCAACCGGAAAGCAGGAUAUUAUGGGCACACUUUUAAUCCUUGGCUCUUGGGGUAAACUGCCCUCAAGAAAGACCUUGACUUUCACCCUGGGGAGAAGAUCUCUCUUUCAUGGCCUUCCAAAUUCUGCGAUCUGUGGCAUUAAUUCUGCUCAAAUUGAUUUCAUUUGUCUAAUAUUUUCAGCCUAAUGAGACAGUGGGCUGUGCUACGUGACCGAACCAGCAACUAAAGCAACAGGGCCUUCCCCUUGGGGUGUCCAUUCCCCAGGGUCGGGCGAUAGGAACUUCCUUCCAAGCGACUGAACCAGCAGCUACAGCAACAGGGCCUUCCCCUCGGGGUGUCUGUACCCUACGGUCAGGUGAUAAGAACUUCCUUCCAUGCGGCUCUCGUCUUUGAAAUCAUGACUUUAAUGGUGGUGAUAAGACCACAGAAACUUUUGCUACUUGAAUCCUCUCAAGGGCAGCUUAGAAAAAGUCAAUUUUGCUAGAGACAUGGGGAGACACAGAACUCCUCCAUAUGAAAUACAUCAUCCCUGUUUUAGGACAAAAGAGCGGGUCUGUGGGUAUGAAGUGGACGGCACCCUCCUCCCUUCAAGCGCAGCCCAGCCCUCCUCUCCCCUCCUCUCCUGCAAGGUGUCGGUGAUUCCUCCGGCUUGCCCUGGGCUCUCCCUUCUCAGACCAGGCGCCUCUGUGGUCAGCAUUGUGCGUCUGGUUGCUUACAUGCCCCUGCUUGUUUACGGUGAUUGUUUUGUGUCCACAGAUCCUGGAGAAUGAGCUAUUUGAGGAACAAGACUUAACUUUGCUAUGCAUAGCUCAUCGAGGACGUUCCAGCAGAACUUAUUCCCUGAGUGAUAAAGCAUACAGGGUGUAGGUUUCUGUAGAAAGUCAGACAGAAACAGAUGGAACUAAAGAAAACACAGUUAGAGGGGUCCCCAAAUAACUGACUUGUGCUUGUCUCUUUGGCUUUUGCAUUAUCUCUGAGACGCAGAAUGUACCUGGAACAUUCCCCUGGAGGGCAGGACCUGUGAAAACAGGAGCAGGAGGAGCUGGCAUCAGCUGUGCUUGCUCCCAGUUCUGCAGCCUGAAGGGAAAAGGCUCCUGAAGCUUUCUUACCACAGGAAGGAAAAACAACUUGCAUUAAGGCUGUGUCCCAAGAUCAAAGACAUUCUUAAACAAUGAAUGAGUACCAGGGAAAAAUAUGUUAGGCCAGAGUGGAAGUUGGGUUGUAUUUGGAAAGAAGUGGCGGUACCGAGCAAAGAUGGGGAGAGAGGGUCAGGAGUAGAAGAAACAGGCCGGGCACGGUGGCUCACGCGUGUAAUCUCAGCACUUUGG
Molecule: long non-coding RNA, 14658 nt
Filed under: Homo sapiens (human)
Lineage: Eukaryota; Metazoa; Chordata; Mammalia; Primates; Hominidae
Description: non-protein coding CALML3-AS1:12
Source: RNAcentral